CUGAACAGAGAGUGCUUUCAUUAGAGAGAACCUGGAGACAGGUGCUGCAUGGCUGUCGUCAGCUCGUGUCGUGAGAUGUUGGGUUAAGUCCCGCAACGAGCGCAACCCUUGUCAUUAGUUGCCAUCAUUCAGUUGGGCACUCUAGAGGGACUGCCGGUGUCAAAACCGGAGGAAGGUGGGAUGACGUCAAGUCCUCAUGGCCUUUAUGUCUAGGGCUACGACACGUACUACAAUGGCCGGUACAGAGGGCAGCCACUCAGCGAUGAGGCGGCUAAUCCCACUAAAAGACCGGUCUCAGUCCGGAUCGCAGUCUGCAACUCGACUGCGUGAAGUUGGAAUCGCUAGUAAUCGUAGAUCAGCAUGCUACGGUGAAUACGUUCCCGGGCCUU
RNAcentral lists this ribosomal RNA (389 nucleotides) under uncultured Desulfocapsa sp. Its description in RNAcentral is "bacterial SSU rRNA". It matches the Rfam family "Bacterial small subunit ribosomal RNA", at positions 1001 to 1382 of the family's 1533-position model. Lineage: Bacteria; Pseudomonadati; Thermodesulfobacteriota; Desulfobulbia; Desulfobulbales; Desulfocapsaceae. The record is from RNAcentral.